This 359-nucleotide transfer RNA is filed under the name uncultured Microcystis sp. RNAcentral's name for it is "partial miscellaneous RNA". The stretch from base 135 to 208 matches the Rfam family "tRNA". The record is from RNAcentral. Lineage: Bacteria; Bacillati; Cyanobacteriota; Cyanophyceae; Chroococcales; Microcystaceae.
AAGGGAGACCUAAUUCAGGUAGGAGACGAAAAAAAAGUAGUCCCUACCAAGAAUCAAUCCCAAAAGGUCGGAGCGAGGCAAAAUUGGCUUUCAAACUAGGUUCUGGGUUCACACAAGACCUGAAUCAGGAACAAGGGCUAUUAGCUCAGGUGGUUAGAGCGCACCCCUGAUAAGGGUGAGGUCCCUGGUUCGAGUUCAGGAUGGCCCACCUGCACAGGUGGCAAAAACAAGAGAAGCGAGGAAUCAGCACCUUAUCUUACUGACAUAGUAAGAGAGAAUGCUGGCUCUGAGUAAAGAGUCCAGAGGAACCUUGAAAACUGCAUAGAGCUAGGUGAAAAAGCCAAAAAAGAAGACCGCAA